This 253-nucleotide ribosomal RNA is filed under the name uncultured bacterium. RNAcentral describes it as "partial 16S ribosomal RNA". It matches the Rfam family "Bacterial small subunit ribosomal RNA", at positions 524 to 776 of the family's 1533-position model. The record is from RNAcentral.
UACGUAGGGUGCGAGCGUUGUCCGGAAUUAUUGGGCGUAAAGAGCUCGUAGGCGGCUUGUCGCGUCGAAUGUGAAAACUCGGGGCUCAACCCCGCGCUUGCAUUCGAUACGGGCAGGCUCGAGUUCGGUAGGGGAGACUGGAAUUCCUGGUGUAGCGGUGAAAUGCGCAGAUAUCAGGAGGAACACCGGUGGCGAAGGCGGGUCUCUGGGCCGAUACUGACGCUGAGGAGCGAAAGUGUGGGGAGCGAACAGG